AAAAAAAAUCCGUCUCCAUAUGAGCCAUGCACGUCUACGUCAUAUCUCAAAACCGCGAAACCGCGAAUGGCUCAUUAUCUCCUCUAUGCGUUCCUUACAUCGUACCUACUCCCUGGAUAACUGUGCUAACUCUACAGCUCUAUACAUGCCACUAUGCCCUGACCCGCGAGGGAACGGGUGGAUUUAUUAGAACAGAACCAACCGGUUGUGGCUCCGGCUGCAUCCGUUGUACUCUGUGAUGACUCUGGAUAACUUCAAUGAUCCCGUCGGCCUUGUGUCCGCGACGGAUCUUUCAAAUGUCUGCCCUAUCAAUUUACGAUGGUAGGUGACCUGCCUACCAUGGUGAUAACGGGUAACGGGGAAUCAGGGUUCGAUUCCGGAGAGGGAGCCUGAGAAACGGCUACCACUUCCAAGGAAGGCAGCAGGCACGCAAAUUACCCAAUCCCGGCACGGGGAGGUAGUGACGAAAAAUACGAAUACGGGACUCAACAGAGGCUCCGUAAUUCGAAUGAGUACAAUUUAAAUCCUUUAACGAGGAUCAACUGGAGGGCAAGUCUGGUGCCAGCAGCCGCGGUAACUCCAGCUCCAGAAGCGUAUAUUAAAGUUGUUGCAGUUAAAAAGCUCGUAGUUGGAUCUGGGUCGCAUGGCUACGUGCCGUCGCUCACUUUCUCGGUUGGCUGUUAAGGCCCUGGGUGUGGUGGGUCGGUGUCGUGGUUGUGUGGUCUUUCUGCCGUGUCUGGUUCACAGGUGCUGACUAGGCCUUCGGGUUUGUCGGCAUGCUUCCAGAUGCCUUUAAACGGGUGUCGGGAGCGGACGGCACCGUUUACUUUGACAAAUUUGAGUGCUCAAGCAGGCCUUGUGCCUGAAAUUCUUGCAUGGAAAAUGGAAUGGACUUCGGUCUAUUUGUUGGUUUCGGAUCGAAGUAUGGUUAGAGGGACGACGGGGGCUUUGAAGGCGCGUAAAGGUGAAUUCUUGGACGCCUCAGACAACUCAGCGAAGCAUUGCCAGGAUGUUUCUUGACUGGACGAAGUCAAGGUCGAGACAUCAAAACCGUCUAGUCUGACAUAACGAGCCACUGACAUCGCGGGGUCUUUAUGUCCCCGGGAGCCCGGGAACUUUAAUCUUGGCCCGGGGAAUUGGUGCAACUGAACUAAGGAUGACGAGGGCCCCGGAUGAGCUGGGUUAUUCAUCACCGGAA
Molecule: ribosomal RNA, 1198 nt
Filed under: Paragonimus westermani
Lineage: Eukaryota; Metazoa; Platyhelminthes; Trematoda; Plagiorchiida; Troglotrematidae
Description: bacterial SSU rRNA
Rfam family: Eukaryotic small subunit ribosomal RNA
Source: RNAcentral